GGGUGAGUAACACGUGAGUAACCUGCCCUUGACUCUGGGAUAAGCCUGGGAAACUGGGUCUAAUACCGGAUACGACCGCUCACCGCAUGGUGUGGUGGUGGAAAGCUUUUGCGGUUUUGGAUGGACUCGCGGCCUAUCAGCUUGUUGGUGGGGUAAUGGCCUACCAAGGCGACGACGGGUAGCCGGCCUGAGAGGGUGACCGGCCACACUGGGACUGAGACACGGCCCAGACUCCUACGGGAGGCAGCAGUGGGGAAUAUUGCACAAUGGGCGAAAGCCUGAUGCAGCGACGCCGCGUGAGGGAUGACGGCCUUCGGGUUGUAAACCUCUUUCAGUAGGGAAGAAGCGAAAGUGACGGUACCUGCAGAAGAAGCGCCGGCUAACUACGUGCCAGCAGCCGCGGUAAUACGUAGGGCGCAAGCGUUAUCCGGAAUUAUUGGGCGUAAAGAGCUCGUAGGCGGUUUGUCGCGUCUGCUGUGAAAGACCGGGGCUCAACUCCGGUUCUGCAGUGGGUACGGGCAGACUAGAGUGAUGUAGGGGAGACUGGAAUUCCUGGUGUAGCGGUGAAAUGCGCAGAUAUCAGGAGGAACACCGAUGGCGAAGGCAGGUCUCUGGGCAUUAACUGACGCUGAGGAGCGAAAGCAUGGGGAGCGAACAGGAUUAGAUACCCUGGUAGUCCAUGCCGUAAACGUUGGGCACUAGGUGUGGGGGACAUUCCACGUUUUCCGCGCCGUAGCUAACGCAUUAAGUGCCCCGCCUGGGGAGUACGGCCGCAAGGCUAAAACUCAAAGGAAUUGACGGGGGCCCGCACAAGCGGCGGAGCAUGCGGAUUAAUUCGAUGCAACGCGAAGAACCUUACCAAGGCUUGACAUGAACCGGUAACGCCUGGAAACAGGUGCCCCGCUUGCGGUCGGUUUACAGGUGGUGCAUGGUUGUCGUCAGCUCGUGUCGUGAGAUGUUGGGUUAAGUCCCGCAACGAGCGCAACCCUCGUUCUAUGUUGCCAGCGCGUGAUGGCGGGGACUCAUAGGAGACUGCCGGGGUCAACUCGGAGGAAGGUGGGGACGACGUCAAAUCAUCAUGCCCCUUAUGUCUUGGGCUUCACGCAUGCUACAAUGGCCGGUACAAAGGGUUGCGAUACUGUGAGGUGGAGCUAAUCCCAAAAAGCCGGUCUCAGUUCGGAUUGGGGUCUGCAACUCGACCCCAUGAAGUCGGAGUCGCUAGUAAUCGCAGAUCAGCAACGCUGCGGUGAAUACGUUCCCGGGCCUUGUACACACCGCCCGUCAAGUCACGAAA
Molecule: ribosomal RNA, 1294 nt
Filed under: Arthrobacter sp. BJC16-A1
Lineage: Bacteria; Bacillati; Actinomycetota; Actinomycetes; Micrococcales; Micrococcaceae
Description: bacterial SSU rRNA
Rfam family: Bacterial small subunit ribosomal RNA
Source: RNAcentral